This 866-nucleotide ribosomal RNA is filed under the name uncultured archaeon. RNAcentral describes it as "bacterial SSU rRNA". It matches the Rfam family "Archaeal small subunit ribosomal RNA", at positions 1 to 872 of the family's 1478-position model. The record is from RNAcentral.
UUCUCUGGUUGAUCCUGCCGGAGGUCACUGCUAUUGGGAUCCGAUUAAGCCAUGCGAGUCGAGAGGGUUCGGCCCUCGGCAUACUGCUCAGUAACACGUGGAUAACCUACCCUAAGGUGGGGGAUAAUCUCGGAAAACUGAGAAUAAUACCCCAUAGAUCUUGGAUGCUGGAAUGCACUUAGGUUUAAAGCUCCGGCGCCUUAGGAUGGGUCUGCGGCCUAUCAGGUAGUAGUGAGUGUAAAGGACUCACUAGCCGACGACGGGUACGGGCCAUGGGAGUGGUUGCCCGGAGAUGGACUCUGAGACACGAGUCCAGGCCCUACGGGGCGCAGCAGGCGCGAAAACUUCGCAAUGCGCGCAAGCGCGACGAGGGGAUUCCAAGUGCAUGCACUAAGUGUAUGCUGUUUAUUAGUCUAAAAAGCUUGUAGAGUAAGGGCUGGGUAAGACUGGUGCCAGCCGCCGCGGUAAUACCAGCGGCCCUAGUGGUGAUCGUUAUUAUUGGGCCUAAAGCGUCCGUAGCCGGUUCGGUAAAUCUCUGGGUAAAUCGAUGGGCUUAACCCAUCGAAUUCUGGGGAGACUGCUGGACUUGGGACCGGGAGAGGUCGGAGGUACUCCAGGGGUAGGGGUGAAAUCCUGUAAUCCUUGGGGGACCACCGGUGGCGAAGGCGUCCGACCAGAACGGGUCCGACGGUAAGGGACGAAGCCCUGGGGCGCAAACCGGAUUAGAUACCCGGGUAGUCCAGGGUGUAAACGCUGCGCGCUUGGUGUUGGGGGUCUCAUGUGGGCACCCAGUGCCGGAGAGAAGUUGUUAAGCGCGCCGCCUGGGGAGUACGGUCGCAAGACUGAAACUUAAAGGAAUUGGCGGG